GACGAACGCUGGCGGCGUGCCUAAUACAUGCAAGUUGAGCGCUGAAGGUUGGUACUUGUACCAACUGGAUGAGCAGCGAACGGGUGAGUAACGCGUGGGGAAUCUGCCUUUGAGCGGGGGACAACAUUUGGAAACGAAUGCUAAUACCGCAUAAAAACUUUAAACACAAGUUUUAAGUUUGAAAGAUGCAAUUGCAUCACUCAAAGAUGAUCCCGCGUUGUAUUAGCUAGUUGGUGAGGUAAAGGCUCACCAAGGCGAUGAUACAUAGCCGACCUGAGAGGGUGAUCGGCCACAUUGGGACUGAGACACGGCCCAAACUCCUACGGGAGGCAGCAGUAGGGAAUCUUCGGCAAUGGACGAAAGUCUGACCGAGCAACGCCGCGUGAGUGAAGAAGGUGUUCGGAUCGUAAAACUCUGUUGGUAGAGAAGAACGUUGGUGAGAGUGGAAAGCUCAUCAAGGGACGGUAACUACCCAGAAAGGGACGGCUAACUACGU
RNAcentral lists this ribosomal RNA (496 nucleotides) under uncultured bacterium. RNAcentral's name for it is "partial 16S ribosomal RNA". It matches the Rfam family "Bacterial small subunit ribosomal RNA", at positions 28 to 506 of the family's 1533-position model. The record is from RNAcentral.